UGUCCCUGUAGCGCAAUGGAUUGCGUUUUGGACUUCUAAUGCAAAGGGCGUGGGUUCGAAUCCCACCUGGGUAG
Molecule: transfer RNA, 74 nt
Filed under: Trichonephila inaurata madagascariensis
Lineage: Eukaryota; Metazoa; Arthropoda; Arachnida; Araneae; Nephilidae
Description: tRNA-Arg
Rfam family: tRNA
About the family: Transfer RNA (tRNA) molecules are approximately 80 nucleotides in length.
Source: RNAcentral